This 1620-nucleotide ribosomal RNA is filed under the name Escherichia coli. RNAcentral's name for it is "bacterial LSU rRNA". It matches the Rfam family "Bacterial large subunit ribosomal RNA", at positions 1327 to 2925 of the family's 2925-position model. Lineage: Bacteria; Pseudomonadati; Pseudomonadota; Gammaproteobacteria; Enterobacterales; Enterobacteriaceae. The record is from RNAcentral.
AGCCCGCUCGCCGGAAGACCAAGGGUUCCUGUCCAACGUUAAUCGGGGCAGGGUGAGUCGACCCCUAAGGCGAGGCCGAAAGGCGUAGUCGAUGGGAAACAGGUUAAUAUUCCUGUACUUGGUGUUACUGCGAAGGGGGGACGGAGAAGGCUAUGUUGGCCGGGCGACGGUUGUCCCGGUUUAAGCGUGUAGGCUGGUUUUCCAGGCAAAUCCGGAAAACCAAGGCUGAGGCGUGAUGACGAAGCACUACGGUGCUGAAGCGACAAAUGCCCUGCUUCCAGGAAAAGCCUCUAAGCAUCAGGUAACAUCAAAUCGUACCCCAAACCGACACAGGUGGUCAGGUAGAGAAUACCAAGGCGCUUGAGAGAACUCGGGUGAAGGAACUAGGCAAAAUGGUGCCGUAACUUCGGGAGAAGGCACGCUGAUAUGUAGGUGAAGCGACUUGCUCGUGGAGCUGAAAUCAGUCGAAGAUACCAGCUGGCUGCAACUGUUUAUUAAAAACACAGCACUGUGCAAACACGAAAGUGGACGUAUACGGUGUGACGCCUGCCCGGUGCCGGAAGGUUAAUUGAUGGGGUUAGCGGUAACGCGAAGCUCUUGAUCGAAGCCCCGGUAAACGGCGGCCGUAACUAUAACGGUCCUAAGGUAGCGAAAUUCCUUGUCGGGUAAGUUCCGACCUGCACGAAUGGCGUAAUGAUGGCCAGGCUGUCUCCACCCGAGACUCAGUGAAAUUGAACUCGCUGUGAAGAUGCAGUGUACCCGCGGCAAGACGGAAAGACCCCGUGAACCUUUACUAUAGCUUGACACUGAACAUUGAGCCUUGAUGUGUAGGAUAGGUGGGAGGCUUUGAAGUGUGGACGCCAGUCUGCAUGGAGCCGACCUUGAAAUACCACCCUUUAAUGUUUGAUGUUCUAACGUUGGCCCGUAAUCCGGGUUGCGGACAGUGUCUGGUGGGUAGUUUGACUGGGGCGGUCUCCUCCUAAAGAGUAACGGAGGAGCACGAAGGUUGGCUAAUCCUGGUCGGACAUCAGGAGGUUAGUGCAAUGGCAUAAGCCAGCUUGACUGCGAGCGUGACGGCGCGAGCAGGUGCGAAAGCAGGUCAUAGUGAUCCGGUGGUUCUGAAUGGAAGGGCCAUCGCUCAACGGAUAAAAGGUACUCCGGGGAUAACAGGCUGAUACCGCCCAAGAGUUCAUAUCGACGGCGGUGUUUGGCACCUCGAUGUCGGCUCAUCACAUCCUGGGGCUGAAGUAGGUCCCAAGGGUAUGGCUGUUCGCCAUUUAAAGUGGUACGCGAGCUGGGUUUAGAACGUCGUGAGACAGUUCGGUCCCUAUCUGCCGUGGGCGCUGGAGAACUGAGGGGGGCUGCUCCUAGUACGAGAGGACCGGAGUGGACGCAUCACUGGUGUUCGGGUUGUCAUGCCAAUGGCACUGCCCGGUAGCUAAAUGCGGAAGAGAUAAGUGCUGAAAGCAUCUAAGCACGAAACUUGCCCCGAGAUGAGUUCUCCCUGAGACUUAGAGUCUCCUGAAGGAACGUUGAAGACGACGACGUUGAUAGGCCGGGUGUGUAAGCGCAGCGAUGCGUUGAGCUAACCGGUACUAAUGAACCGUGAGGCUUAACCUU